GGGCUGCUAGCUCAGCUGGUAGAGCAACUGACUCUUAAUCAGUAGGUUCGGGGUUCGAGUCCCCGGCAGCUCACCA
RNAcentral lists this transfer RNA (76 nucleotides) under delta proteobacterium MLS_D. RNAcentral's name for it is "tRNA-Lys". It matches the Rfam family "tRNA". Rfam says of the family: Transfer RNA (tRNA) molecules are approximately 80 nucleotides in length. The record is from RNAcentral. Lineage: Bacteria; Deltaproteobacteria.